AGGGAUGAAGCUUAUACGAAGCAAUUAGCUGUUACCUAAUAGACAGUGAUGAAACCUCACCUACCCUA
This 68-nucleotide transfer RNA is filed under the name Lampsilis siliquoidea. Its description in RNAcentral is "tRNA-Asn". Lineage: Eukaryota; Metazoa; Mollusca; Bivalvia; Unionida; Unionidae. The record is from RNAcentral.